GGUGCGCUGGCAGCGAGAAAAGGAUACCGCUGUUAUGUUGCCAUCAUUUACAAACAGUUGAAAAGCACUGUUUCCAUUACGGUGGUUUGCUUUAUCCAUAGAGCGUUCGGCGGUAAAGAGAGGCGGCCGAGUCGCCAAAGACGUGCCGGGAAGGCAACUAGUCUUCCUCACGGGCCCGUUUUUGAAUGUACCGACGGUCCCCAACUUGCGACACCUACUAAACGUGCGACUCCGCACGUCUGGAGACUCGGAAGGCGACAGGUCUCAUGUGUUCUCGCACGUGCUACAAGCCGUUCAAAGGUGGAGCAAAACGGACUUGAAUCAGCUGUCCUGACUCCUGAUGAUACGGAGAACAGUUUAAGCGAUGAUGUGUUGAGCGCCAAGUAGUGUUGAAUCCAACCUAGCCAUCGACAAACUGGAACACCUGCAAGAAAUUGGGUUUGGUGUUAAUAACGGAACAGGCAAGCCCGCCGGCUAAGCGGAACAAGGGCGUUACCUCGGACGAGAGCGUCUCGGCUUCACGUGAGUCCGUCCCUGAGUUUGGGAUAUG
Molecule: long non-coding RNA, 550 nt
Filed under: Elaeis guineensis (African oil palm)
Lineage: Eukaryota; Viridiplantae; Streptophyta; Magnoliopsida; Arecales; Arecaceae
Description: long non-coding RNA (EGUI_LNC031162)
Source: RNAcentral